This 70-nucleotide transfer RNA is filed under the name Marmota monax (woodchuck). Its description in RNAcentral is "tRNA.Ala". The stretch from base 6 to 65 matches the Rfam family "tRNA", at positions 6 to 65 of the family's 71-position model. Rfam says of the family: Transfer RNA (tRNA) molecules are approximately 80 nucleotides in length. Their secondary structure includes four short double-helical elements and three loops (D, anti-codon, and T loops). Lineage: Eukaryota; Metazoa; Chordata; Mammalia; Rodentia; Sciuridae. The record is from RNAcentral.
GGGAUUGUGGCUCAGCGGUAGAGCGCUCCCCUAGCACGGGCGGGACCUGGGUUCGAUCCUCAGCAUCACA